This 239-nucleotide ribosomal RNA is filed under the name uncultured bacterium. Its description in RNAcentral is "partial 16S ribosomal RNA". It matches the Rfam family "Bacterial small subunit ribosomal RNA", at positions 524 to 761 of the family's 1533-position model. The record is from RNAcentral.
UACGUAGGGCGCAAGCGUUGUCCGGAAUUAUUGGGCGUAAAGAGCUCGUAGGCGGUUUGUCACGUCGGCUGUGAAAACCCGAGGCUCAACCUCGGGCCUGCAGUCGAUACGGGCAGACUAGAGUGCUGUAGGGGAGACUGGAAUUCCUGGUGUAGCGGUGAAAUGCGCAGAUAUCAGGAGGAACACCGGUGGCGAAGGCGGGUCUCUGGGCCGAUACUGACGCUGAGGAAGCGAAAGUG